Equus caballus (horse) is the source of this 6163-nucleotide long non-coding RNA. Lineage: Eukaryota; Metazoa; Chordata; Mammalia; Perissodactyla; Equidae. The record is from Ensembl.
CUGGGGUCCGGAGGCUGCCUGGGCUCAGACCCGGGAGCCAGCUCUGGGCUUCGACCAGCAGGGCCCAGGGAGGAGCCACGCGGGCGGCGGCGGAGGCCAGCCUGGGCCGAGUUGGCAGGAUGCUUUUCGAAAGAAAGGCUGUACCGUUGUCCCGGUUGUCGGUUGUCUGUAAGUGCGUGUCGGGGGAAGCAGGAGUGCUGGCCCCGGGGCCAUUGGGGUGUUGGGUGACCUGCGAGCAGACGGUGGAGGCCGGGGCAGAAGGGUUGUGGAAUGGUUACAUGCUUACGUAACAGAGACCUUAACUUUUCCAAAAAAGGCAAUUCACUGGAAAGAGGACAAGGGAGCAGAGAGAGCCCAAAGGUGGAGCUGCAGCAUGGUGUCUGGGCACGGGGACGCCAGCAAGAAUCUGCAGGAGCCCCCUUUGCUGGUCUCUGCUUCAUCACCCCCAGGCGUGGGCAUAAUCAGAGCUGACCCCUGCUGAGCCAGGCCCAGAACUGAGAACUUUACAUGCGUGGUUUAAUCCUCGUGACAACCCCAUGAGAUAGGUGUUACUACUAUUCCUCCCAUUUUGCAGAUGUGGGAUGAGGCACAGAGAGGUUGAGUAACCACUGAAGGCCACACAGCCAGUACAUGGCGAGCCAGGAUUCUCUCCACGGCUCUACUGUGCUGCCUCCAGAGAACCAGGGGCCAUCACAAACUGGAUGGACAUCCCAGUGUGUCUUCUACUCUUGACAAGUCCCCUCCCGGUAACUUGACAAGGACAGGCAGGGAGAAGACGGGGGGUAAGACCUGUGUGUGUUACAGUUUACACGACAACUUCACACACGUUUCCUCAUCUCAAGCUCACCACAGCCCCCGGGGGAAACGGAGGCCCGGCGAGCAUGUGACGGGCCUGGGGCGCCCCCAGGGUCUCGGGGAUGUUGCUUGCUCCCCUCGGCCUUGGCAGGUGCACCGGGGCUGGGCCGCUGGUGCGGCGAAGACGGGCCGGCGGCGCCCGGACACCAGACGAGCACCAUCUAUGUGCAAGGCCCUCUCUGAUCCAGGGCUGCGUUGCGGUUCUCCAAGUCCUGACGCCGUGGAAGCCACUAGGAGAGGCUGGAGCCAGGCGCGAGGCCUCCCCGCCCGGGCGCGUAGCUGCGGCUGCUCCCUGCCCGGUCCUCUGCGCGGAGCCAGCAAGGCGCUCAAAUUAGACCCGUGAGCACCUCCCCGAGGUUAAGGGCGCCUCGUGGGCCCCCGGCCAGGACUCGGCCGAGCCGGAAGUCCGGGGGAGGGGCCCCUAACUGCAGAGCGACAGUCACCCAGGAGCAGGUGGGGCUCCCCCAAAACCACGCACCUGCUCCUCGGGCUCCUUCUAGAAACCUGCGGGAGCUGAAGACCAGGCGCGGCGCCAGCUUCUCUUCACCCCUGUCCGCGAGGUCCCUAGAGACCCUGGAGCUGUCGGUAGCAGGAGGGGUUUACACCAGGUGACCCGUGAGCAGCUUCCCAGCUCUGACCCCAAGACAAGUCCUGCCCUGUGAGGUCAAAGCCUUCGGAGCUGGAGGGAAGGACCAGAGAAGACGGCCCACCACCAGCAGCCGCGUCAGGGUUUGCACGGACGCAGUGAGAAGCCAUCCGUCUGUGCGCCAGGGAGCCGGCUCACUCCAGACCCCGCGUCUGCCCAGCCCUUGAGAUUGGACUCUGAGCAUCGGGAAGUGUGAGAAAUAAGUGUCUGUGGUUUAAGGGCCAGGCUGCAGUAUUUUCCUAUAUGGUCUAAGACAGGGGCAGACUUGGCUUGUUUUUAGCGUUUUAGGGAAAUGAAUGCCAGUUUUGAGUGACUGUCACCUUGCACCUGCCCCUGGACAAGGAGCAGCAGGGCGUGGGAGAGAGGCAUGGGGGGAGGGGCUCCAGAGGGCCACAUCGUCACCCACUGCAUCUGGCAACACCAGUAAGUGGGCUGGGCCCCUCCCUGGGUGGCCUGGGGACCCCUGGGCCGGAGGAAAGGGGAUGAGAGCAGAGGGGUGGGAGGUCCAGAGCUCUGCUCCUGGUGGGGGGCUGGGUGUCCUGAGGGGAGGCCCCAGCACCCCUGGCCUGUGACCUGCCAUCACUGCUGGCCCAGGAGGAAGAGUGGACAGACACCCACAGGGGCAGAGAGACCCCGAGGCCAGCAGGCGACCUGCACACUGGGUCCAGGCAGGGGUCAAGGACAGGGCUGGAGUGAGCGAGAUGCUCAGGUCCGACACUGUCGCCCUGAAGAAGGCAGGUGGCCUUCCUGUUGGGCCACUGCCACUCUGAGCUGUGCCUGCAGGCCACACGCACUCUGUGCUCAGGCCCCUGGUGAAGCCACAUCUGCCAGACGUGAGCCACCAGGGACAGGACGACCCUAAGAAGUCAACCCCGGCCUCACUGGGGGUCCAGGGCCCAGCAGUUGGGAGACCACCCCUCCUCCCUGGGCAAUGGGGAGGAGCUUGACGACCCCAUCGGGGUGGCCUCUAGGGGAGCCCUGGGCCCUGAGGCACGAGGUCCACCCCGCGCUAGGGCAGACUCAGAGCUGAGCUCCUCAGGAGCAAGAGGCUACCCAGCUGCAGGGAGGGGGGGGUCAGCGGAUGGCUAACCCGAGGACGGGGUCUGCCUCGGCUGCCAAGGUCAAGGUCAUCUUCUCGGGCCCUGCAGCCAGAGUGAGGGAGGGUGCGAGGGCCCAGCCCCUUCCGCCCCACGCGGGCUCCUCCGACGGGCAGCGAUGGCUCGGAGCUCCACCGGGCUGUCGGAGGCGCGCGCAGCAGAUCCGAACAUCAGUUUACCAACCCCUCCUACCCACCCCUGCUCGUCCCUUCUCUCCACCGGUGCUGCUCCCCAAUAAAUCUUUUGCUCCCCUGACUCUGGCUCAGGGUUGGCCUCCUGGAGAACCUAACCUGCAGCACCCUCUUCCGCGCCCUUGUGCCUCAGUUUCCCCUCGUGGGGUGGUACCUGUGCUUCGGGUUCAACACUGCACGAACAGGAGGAUGACCUGUUUCCUCAGUACCCGAAACACCCCCCCGCACCCAGCCGGCAGGGCACGCGCAGUGGAGAAGGGGGCGCCCGCCUCUGGUGGCCUCAGCGCCCACCCCACCAAGGGGCUGCCACUAAAAACAAAACACGACAUCACAAGACCCAGAGAAAGCGGGGGAACCGAAGGCUGGCUGUUCUCCGGGGCGCCCCCUCCCCGCUCCCCUGCGGGCUGGCAGAAGGGGCCCCCUCGGACUUUAGGACGCUCCCCAGUCACCGCCUGCGGCUGGGACCACGCUCUGCUCCCCAUCCCUGCUUGCCCCAGGUCUGCAGCUCCCCUCGUGAUGCCGAGGUGACACGUUCCCCCGCCGAGCCGGCCCCGUGCACGCCCACCCCCGGAGCGCUCCGACCCCGUGGGCCCCCCCCCCACCCCCGCCCCCCCAGGAGGAGAGAGCAGCCGGCCUGUGCCGGCCCUGCUCCCAAUCCCAGCGCCCGCAUACCCUGCACAAGCGGUCAGCGCCGCCGAGGGUCUCCCCGCAUCCAUCCCACCCCACGCCUGCCAGCACGCGGCCUGGGGGCCUACCCUGGGCCCGCAGGGAGAGCACAGCCCUGGCCCAUGGAAGGUUCUGGACUGCAGAGAUCUCCUGCCUACAGCCUCCACCACGGAAUCCAAGGCGCUCCGGACCCUCUUCCCCACGCAGCCCUUCAGGUGCGGGAGUCCCCGAGGCCCCUUCUCUGAGCUAAAACACGCCACUCUUCCCAUUCCUCCUCAUGUGACUGGAUUUUGAGCCCUCCCACCAUCCUGGCCACACAGUCUGGAAUGUGGUUUGCUGAUGACUUUCCGAAAGUGGGGUUCCCAGGGCUCAAUACGCUCCCGGGAGCGGUCAGGUCAGCCGGCCCGGGGAAGGCUCUGCGGACACGUUUUGUUGACCCAACUUGAGGUCCUAUCAGCUGUCGCGGACCCCACGCAGACUCUGCAGUCACAAUGCCCCGAUUCAUGUCCCUUCUCAGCCAGUUCCACCUUGGGUAAAUUAUUUAGCUUCUCUGUACCUCAGUUUACUUAACUGUAAAAUAGGGUCAUAACGGCACCCCCUCUCCCCCACCCCAAGCCAAGACGCGGGAAAAGAGCCGGGCGGCCGUCGGCCGGCAGAGGGCGCUGCACGCCCGCCUUGGACGGGAUGCGCUGCCGGACGCGGCCGCCAGGGGUCGCCCGAGCGCCGCGGCGGACCGAGGAGACCCCUGGCCGGGCCGCGCCUGCACCACCCGACUGGUACCCACGAGGGGGGAGGGGGGAGGCUGCGCCGACCCUGGACUGGCCGCCCCUUGCCUGCGCCUCACCCCGCCCUUCUGGAAGACUCGGAGCAGUUUACUGCAACCUCCGCACACCUGAUGCGGAGCCAAAUCGCAGGCGCUGUGGCCGCCAAGCAGGUGCAAAGGGGAGCGAGGCUCGGGGGGAAUCGGGGGGAUGUGUGACCCCAGUGACGCAAAGCCUUUGAAAGAGCGGCAGUGACACCGCCCAGAGGCGCAGGACACACCCCCGGGACCCGGCCACAUCCGAGAACAGGAUAGGGCUGCUCACCCGCUCCUGAGACCCGCGCUGCCUCGGGUCAUCACAUCCUCCCCCUGGCCCCCACCCUGGACCUCUCCACCCUGCAUGGGGUGCGCUUGCUGUGUCCAGGUGUCCAGACAGGUGAAUUAGAAGGAUCUGGGGAGUCACGGAUGGGAUACGGAACUGAAAUCUACUUCCUCCCCUUGGCCAUGAAAUGGGAGAAAACCUCCUCUGUUCAGGGUGGGGAAGGGCAUACAUGGUUCCUGGAGGAGGAAGCCAAGGGCAGCAUUUUGAUCUGGCCCACAGUAGAGAAAAAGUCCUGUCUCCAAGGUCUGCCAAGGGUUUGGCAUCCAAGGUAAGAUCAGGACAACAUAUCUAGGAUGGUUAAUUUUAUGUGUCAAGUUGACUGGGCCCAGAAAUUUGGUCAAAUAUUAUUCUGGAUGUGUCUGUGAGGGAGUUUUUGAAAGAGAUUGACAUUUAAAUCAAGAGACUGAGUAAAGCAGAUUGCCCUCCCUGGUGUAGGUGGGCCUCACCCAAUCAGUUGAAGGCCUGAAGAGAACAAAAAGGCCGAGGCUCCCACGAGUAAGAGGGAACUCCUCCUGCCUGACUGAUUUCCAGCUGGGACAUCAGCUUUUUCCUGUCUUCAGACUUGAGCUGAAACAUCGGUUUCUCUUGGGUCUUGAGCCUGCCUGCCUUCAGACUGGAACAUCAUCAGCCCUCCUGGGUCUCCCGCUUGCUGACUGCAGAUCUUGGGGCUUGUCAGCCUCUGUAGUUACCUGAGCAAUUCCAUACCCUCUUGGUUCUACCCCUCUGGAGAACCCUGGCCAUUCACUGGCCUAAUCGACAGAGCAACAUGGUAUCAUUCUCCUCUCCUCUCACAUCAGCAAAGACAAGUCCUUCAGGUGUAUGGAGGAAAUCGAACGUGUGCAAGUCUGUCGAGUCAACAUGCUGUCUUUGGAGUCCGUCCUUGGGAACCAACUGCACGUGGUGGGGUGUCUUGUGCACAUAAGGAUGUUGGGAAGGACGCUCCCCCACCCAGCGCCCACUGCCCUCCUGGUAAAGGGGCUUCAAUGCCUGGUCAGUCAGAGCAGUCUCCUGGCCAGGGGAUUGGCUCAGGUUGGGCCAAGCCAGGUCAAUUAGGGUAAAUGAGAUUUUAUUCUGGCAAUUUGUAGGAACUGACUUUAAAAAAAAAAAGUGUUUGCUUUUUCUUCUGAGAAGAUAGUUAUCCACUGAGGCUUCUGGCAGCCAUCUUGUCACCAUGAGGGGAAUAGCCGGCCUGAGAAUUUCCAAAGCACACAGGAAAGUCUGAGAGCCACUCAUGCCCCAAGCCGGAGACUUCCCCUGGGUGUUUCAUUUCCAUAAGCAGUAAUUUCUCUUGUUUGAUUCAGCAAGUGUAGCUUGUGUUUCUACAAUUCUGACUGAUUCGACAGGGCUGCACUGCUGUAACAGUGGCAAACAGGUCAUUGAAAUGGCCGCAACGGUAAGUUGAUCAAAUAACUGUCCAGGAUCCUAAUAAAAUGCUUUACAGCAAUUAGACAAGAGGAUGUAGAUCUGUAUUUGUAGGCACAGAAACUGGUCCACGUUAUAGUAUUAAGUUUUUUAAAAGGUUAUAAAACAGCAACAGCAUAUAAUCUGGGAGAAUAAAUAGCAAAC